Long non-coding RNA from Cyprinus carpio carpio, 723 nucleotides. The record is from Ensembl. Lineage: Eukaryota; Metazoa; Chordata; Actinopteri; Cypriniformes; Cyprinidae.
GGAUGAGGUAGGGGGUGCCGGGUGGGGAGGGGGUAAUAUAUCGUUUGCAGGAAGGGGGAAGGUCGUUUCACUUCUUUAGCUCCAAGUUUCUGCGUGGUCUAGAUAGCAGUUAUUUCAAAACCUUAAAUGGAAUAGACUGUGAUAAAGGAGGAUGCUUUACUUUCUUUAUGACACUCAGAGGCUAAAAGCAUGAGACAGAGGGUUCGAUAUUCAGCCGAUCGAUGAGGGAAAAGGCACAAAGGCAAAAUCGGAUGGAGCUCCUUUUCAAAUUCACAUCUCCGAUGUCCCCCCCAGCAGUCUGCGCUGGUGCGACGCACAGGGAGCAAGGGUUACCUCAAGGCUGUUCCGUGGACCAUGCAAACAAGUCUAGACCAGUGACCUGCUCAAUCGCUCCCUUUGAGGGCCAGGCAAGUUCGGUCAGGAAGAAGAAAGCAAGGCGUGCCCUCUUUUCAUUGAGGGAGCAAGGAGGUAAGGAGGGCAAAGAGAGUAGGCAUCUGCUUCCAUGGUUACUAUCCAAGUAUGAGGAUCCUGCUAUUCAAAAGGCUCCAUUCUCAUGCUCUCAGCCAGCCAAUGUCACUCGUUUAGAAGGAAGGCAGCACAGGAGGAGACCCGCGGCACCAGGCGUGCUUCUUUUAACGCUCUAAUGAUAAGUGCAUGGGCUGCUCACCAGAGAAAGGAGAAAUGAAGGAGGACAGAUGGGCGACUUUAUGUCACAUGACUGCG